Molecule: long non-coding RNA, 213 nt
Filed under: Mytilus galloprovincialis (Mediterranean mussel)
Lineage: Eukaryota; Metazoa; Mollusca; Bivalvia; Mytilida; Mytilidae
Source: RNAcentral
GAAAGAUUAUUUUUUAACUAUCUAACUGUUACGUUUUACAACUCUAACUAGACGUCAUUAAUCAUUUCUCACGUAUUUAUCCCCGUCAGUGUCCACCUAAAUAGAAAUGAUACCGUCUAUGAUACAAUAACUCAACUAUAAAACUAAACAAACUAUAUCGAGAGGACACAAAAUAGUCUUCAAACAUUCACGGAUCAAAAUGUUAACCUGGAC